This 73-nucleotide transfer RNA is filed under the name Gasterosteus aculeatus (three-spined stickleback). It matches the Rfam family "tRNA". Rfam says of the family: Transfer RNA (tRNA) molecules are approximately 80 nucleotides in length. Lineage: Eukaryota; Metazoa; Chordata; Actinopteri; Perciformes; Gasterosteidae. The record is from Rfam by way of RNAcentral.
GCCGAAAUAGCUCAGUUGGGAGAGCGUCAGACAGAAGAUCUGAAGGUCCCUGGUUCAAUCCCGGGUUUCGGCA